This 370-nucleotide ribosomal RNA is filed under the name uncultured bacterium. RNAcentral's name for it is "bacterial SSU rRNA". It matches the Rfam family "Bacterial small subunit ribosomal RNA", at positions 527 to 896 of the family's 1533-position model. The record is from RNAcentral.
GUAGGGUGCGAGCGUUAAUCGGAAUUACUGGGCGUAAAGCGUGCGCAGGCGGUUUUGUAAGCCAGAUGUGAAAUCCCCGGGCUUAACCUGGGAAUGGCAUUUGGGACUGCAAGGCUCGAGUGCGGCAGAGGAGACUGGAAUUCCUGGUGUAGCAGUGAAAUGCGUAGAUAUCAGGAGGAAUACCGAUGGCGAAGGCAGGUCUCUGGGCUGACACUGACGCUCAUGCACGAAAGCGUGGGGAGCAAACAGGAUUAGAUACCCUGGUAGUCCACGCCCUAAACGAUGUCGACUGGUUGUUGGGGGUUUGACACUCUCAGUAACGAAGCUAACGCGUGAAGUCGACCGCCUGGGGAGUACGGCCGCAAGGUUA